GCAUAUCAAUAAGCGGAGGAAAAGAAACCAACAGGGAUUGCCUCAGUAACGGCGAGUGAAGCGGCAACAGCUCAAAUUUGAAAUCUGGCCCCCAGGCCCGAGUUGUAAUUUGCAGAGGAUGCUUUGGGCGCGGCGCCUUCCGAGUUCCCUGGAACGGGACGCCACAGAGGGUGAGAGCCCCGUCUGGUUGGAUGCCUAGCCUAUGUAAAGCUCCUUCGACGAGUCGAGUAGUUUGGGAAUGCUGCUCUAAACGGGAGGUAUAUGUCUUCUAAAGCUAAAUACCGGCCAGAGACCGAUAGCGCACAAGUAGAGUGAUCGAAAGAUGAAAAGCACUUUGAAAAGAGGGUUAAAUAGUACGUGAAAUUGUUGAAAGGGAAGCGCUUACGACCAGACUUGGGCUCGGCGGAUCACCCGGCGUUCUUCGCCGGGGCACUCCGCCGGCUCAGGCCAGCAUCGGUUUGCCUCGGGGGACAAAGGCGGCGGGAACGUAGCUCCCUCGGGAGUGUUAUAGCCCGCCGUGUAAUACCCUGCGGCGGACCGAGGACCGCGCAUCUGCAAGGAUGCUGGCGUAAUGGUCGUCAGCGACCCGUCUUGAAACACGGACCAAGGAGUCGUCUUCGUAUGCGAGUGUUCGGGUGGAAAACCCCUACGCGUAAUGAAAGUGAACGCAGGUGAGAGCUUCGGCGCAUCAUCGACCGAUCCUGAUGUUCUCGGAUGGAUUUGAGUAAGAGCAUACGGGGCCGGACCCGAAAGAAGGUGAACUAUGCCUGUAUAGGGUGAAGCCAGAGGAAACUCUGGUGGAGGCUCGCAGCGGUUCUGACGUGCAAAUCGAUCGUCAAAUAUGGGCAUGGGGGCGAAAGACUAAUCGAACCUUCUAGUAGCUCGUUACGCGAG
This 894-nucleotide ribosomal RNA is filed under the name Niesslia indica. Its description in RNAcentral is "LSU rRNA". It matches the Rfam family "Eukaryotic large subunit ribosomal RNA", at positions 38 to 963 of the family's 3401-position model. The record is from RNAcentral. Lineage: Eukaryota; Fungi; Ascomycota; Sordariomycetes; Hypocreales; Niessliaceae.